CUGAGCGUGUGUGGUCUCUUAAUGUGAUAUCUCCACUGGCUCCGCAAAACCAGCAUGACAGACUGCCAGCGCAGCAGCAACCACUUUGAUUUUUCCAUUGAAGAAUGAAUCACUCUUGAAUGAACACUUAGUGACCCAUGGCUUAAAGGCCAGGAUUAGCCCUAGCAACCGAAGCUCUCUGGGGUCCACGAUCGAUGGUGAGGGCUCGACACCCUGUUGUCCACCUGAGCUCUCUCUGCUGGUCGUCCCAUCCAAGUCACAACAAGGUCCUCGCAGCCAGGCUUGACAAGGUCAUGAACUAUGUGAUGCAUCCUGAUCAAACAAGAUUUAUCUCAAGGCAACCAUUUUCUGGCAUGGAUCACAUCAAAAACCCAUCCCUCAUCUCCUCCAAGUGCGGAAACAUUAAAAGUAGUGCUCGUGUUUACUCCUGACAAAUAUGGAGGAGGAGACCCUGGUUCCCAUGGAGACACUCAUCUGUUUUGCACAGAAGAGGGUGGAGCUCUCUGCUGCAGAAUCACUGCUCACUGUGUGUGUUGGAGGUAGCACAGUGGAGACAGUUUAGUAUUGGCAACGAGGAUAAAAGCAUAACUGAAAUCAUGUCGUGUGUGUGCAUGUGCCAGUG
Molecule: long non-coding RNA, 622 nt
Organism: Toxotes jaculatrix (banded archerfish)
Lineage: Eukaryota; Metazoa; Chordata; Actinopteri; Toxotidae
Exons: 3
Source: RefSeq, a predicted model, not a curated record